RNAcentral lists this ribosomal RNA (174 nucleotides) under Gastrotheca ovifera (giant marsupial frog). RNAcentral's name for it is "16S ribosomal RNA". The record is from RNAcentral. Lineage: Eukaryota; Metazoa; Chordata; Amphibia; Anura; Hemiphractidae.
ACGUGAUMUGAGUUCAGACCGGAGUGAUCCAGGUCAGUUUCUAUCUAUAAGGAGCAUUUUUUAGUACGAAAGGAUCGAAAAAACACGGCCAAUACACCAGCAAGCCGUCUCUAUUAAUUUAUGAUUUAAUCUUAAUAAUUAAAUAAUCCAAAAUAAUGACCUAAAAAAAAGGUU